RNAcentral lists this long non-coding RNA (201 nucleotides) under Dasypus novemcinctus (nine-banded armadillo). RNAcentral describes it as "lncRNA (ENSDNOG00000052069.1)". The record is from RNAcentral. Lineage: Eukaryota; Metazoa; Chordata; Mammalia; Cingulata; Dasypodidae.
AUUCAUAACCCAUGGCAGACCAGACUUGGCGGGAGCUCUUUUCCUGGCCUGUGCCCUUUGCAAGUAUUUGACUUCUUCUGGAACAACCUGAAAGGAAUAAGGUGAUCUUGUGGCCAAGGCAAAGUUCAUAUGACACAUGCCAAUCUGGUGAAUAUUUUGGAAUGACUGGAGAGAAGGGAAGUGAUUGGAAUUGGACCAGGU